This 252-nucleotide ribosomal RNA is filed under the name uncultured bacterium. RNAcentral's name for it is "partial 16S ribosomal RNA". It matches the Rfam family "Bacterial small subunit ribosomal RNA", at positions 524 to 776 of the family's 1533-position model. The record is from RNAcentral.
UACGUAGGGGGCUAGUGUUAUCCGGAAUUACUGGGCGUAAAGGGUGCGUAGGUGGUUUCUUAAGUCAGAGGUGAAAGGCUACGGCUCAACCGUAGUAAGCCUUUGAAACUGGGAAACUUGAGUGCAGGAGAGGAGAGUGGAAUUCCUAGUGUAGCGGUGAAAUGCGUAGAUAUUAGGAGGAACACCAGUUGCGAAGGCGGCUCUCUGGACUGUAACUGACACUGAGGCACGAAAGCGUGGGGAGCAAACAGG